AAAAUGCGAUAUCUAGUGUGAAUUGCAGAUUUACGUGAAUCAUCGAGUCUCUGAACGCAAAUUGCGCUCCACGGCUAUUCCGUGGAGCAUACCUGUUUGAGUCUCACCUUUUUUCUUUUCUUUGGAAAAACAUGCGCUUUUCUUUCCCUCCCCUUUUAACGGGAGAGGGGGAACAGCGUCAAAAACAAUCCAUUACUUUUUGCGUGACCCCAAAACAACAACACAGUGUGCUCAUACCACCUGUGUGUUGCUGGACAUCCGCACAACCACAAAAAAAAGAGCUCAAAUCAGGCAGGACUACCCGCUGAACUUAA
This 314-nucleotide unclassified non-coding RNA is filed under the name uncultured Ascomycota. RNAcentral's name for it is "sequence contains ITS1". The stretch from base 1 to 106 matches the Rfam family "5.8S ribosomal RNA", at positions 50 to 154 of the family's 154-position model. The record is from RNAcentral. Lineage: Eukaryota; Fungi; Ascomycota.